UGGCUGUCGUCAGCUCGUGUUGUGAAAUGUUGGGUUAAGUCCCGCAACGAGCGCAACCCUUAUCCUUUGUUGCCAGCGGUCCGGCCGGGAACUCAAAGGAGACUGCCAGUGAUAAACUGGAGGAAGGUGGGGAUGACGUCAAGUCAUCAUGGCCCUUACGACCAGGGCUACACACGUGCUACAAUGGCGCAUACAAAGAGAAGCGACCUCGCGAGAGCAAGCGGACCUCAUAAAGUGCGUCGUAGUCCGGAUUGGAGUCUGCAACUCGACUCCAUGAAGUCGGAAUCGCUAGUAAUCGUGGAUCAGAAUGCCACGGUGAAUACGUUCCCGGGCCUUGUACACACCGCCCGUCACACCAUGGGAGUGGGUUGCAAAAGAAGUAGGUAGCUUAACCUUCGGGAGGGCGCUUACCACUUUGUGAUUCAUGACUGGGGUGAAGUCGUAACAAGGUAACCGUAGGGGAACCUGC
RNAcentral lists this ribosomal RNA (469 nucleotides) under Salmonella enterica subsp. enterica serovar Infantis. Its description in RNAcentral is "bacterial SSU rRNA". It matches the Rfam family "Bacterial small subunit ribosomal RNA", at positions 1046 to 1515 of the family's 1533-position model. RNAcentral also lists the same sequence under 1 other name. The record is from RNAcentral. Lineage: Bacteria; Pseudomonadati; Pseudomonadota; Gammaproteobacteria; Enterobacterales; Enterobacteriaceae.